UGACCGCUGGCGGCGUGCUUAACACAUGCAAGUCGACCGAAGCAUUUAGGACAGAUUACUUCGGUUUGAAGUUCUUUAUGACUGAGUGGCGGACGGGUGAGUAACGCGUGGGUAACCUGCCUUGUACUGGGGGAUAGCAGCUGGAAACGGCUGGUAAUACCGCAUAAGCGCACAAUGUUGCAUUACAUUGUGUGAAAAACUCCGGUGGUAUAAGAUGGACCCGCGUCUGAUUAGCUAGUUGGUGAGAUAACAGCCCACCAAGGCGACGAUCAGUAGCCGACCUGAGAGGGUGACCGGCCACAUUGGGACUGAGACACGGCCCAGACUCCUACGGGAGGCAGCAGUGGGGAAUAUUGCACAAUGGAGGAAACUCUGAUGCAGCGACGCCGCGUGAGUGAAGAAGUAAUUCGUUAUGUAAAGCUCUAUCAGCAGGGAAGAUAGUGACGGUACCUGACGAAGAAGCUCCGGCUAAAUACGUG
RNAcentral lists this ribosomal RNA (479 nucleotides) under uncultured bacterium. Its description in RNAcentral is "partial 16S ribosomal RNA". It matches the Rfam family "Bacterial small subunit ribosomal RNA", at positions 30 to 507 of the family's 1533-position model. The record is from RNAcentral.